Molecule: ribosomal RNA, 468 nt
Filed under: uncultured bacterium
Lineage: Bacteria
Description: partial 16S ribosomal RNA
Rfam family: Bacterial small subunit ribosomal RNA
Source: RNAcentral
GACGAACGCUGGCGGCGUGCUUAACACAUGCACGUCGAACGGAAAGGCCCUGCUUUUGUGGGGUGCUCGAGUGGCGAACGGGUGAGUAACACGUGAGUAACCUGCCCUUGACUUUGGGAUAACUUCAGGAAACUGGGGCUAAUACCGGAUAGGAGCUCCUGCUGCAUGGUGGGGGUUGGAAUGUUUCGGCGGUUGGGGAUGGACUCGCGGCUUAUCAGCUUGUUGGUGGGGUAGUGGCUUACCAAGGCUUUGACGGGUAGCCGGCCUGAGAGGGUGACCGGCCACAUUGGGACUGAGAUACGGCCCAGACUCCUACGGGGGGCAGCAGUGGGGAAUAUUGCACAAUGGGCGGAAGCCUGAUGCAGCAACGCCGCGUGCGGGAUGACGGCCUUCGGGUUGUAAACCGCUUUCGCCUGUGACGAAGCGUGAGUGACGGUAAUGGGUAAAGAAGCACCGGCUAACUACGUG